AUGAGAAUCGUUCCCGCAGCGGAAACAUUCAAAUAUACUUCGUAGAGAAGUCGCCCUUAAUCAGGUUUAGGCCUGUUACCACUCGUUGUCAGUUUAGAGUUCAACCUAUUUAUCCUUAAAACUAGAUACGAACGAUUGCGCAUAGAAUAUCCUUUAGCUGACUGUGUCAAACAAGUUAUAAAAAGUAGCGACUGAGGUUUUUGGAUGAUCGAUCCUUUGGAAGUUUGUUUCUACCUAUUGACUCGUUAGUAGAUCAGGAAACAAACGGACAACAGAGCGAUGGCACGAACUGAAGCGUUGGUUAAGC
RNAcentral lists this unclassified non-coding RNA (307 nucleotides) under chlamydia-associated clinical sample 589-S. RNAcentral's name for it is "intergenic spacer region". The record is from RNAcentral.